UUUGCUUUUUUUAAUUAACAUAUAAUAAUUCUAAACAUCUAGAAUUUAAAGGAAUGCAUUGCAUGAUUUGCCGGUGGAAAUAAGUUCCAGUAAGUUACUGUGUAAUCAUUGCUUUAUUUGUAUAAAGCUGUGAAGUGCUUUUAUGUUCUUUUCUAUAAAGAUGAAUUCCAUGUGGUACAUACUUCUCAAAAAUGUCUUUGUAGUGAAAUUCUUUCUACAAAGUGCCAAGGAUUGUAGUAUAAAAUAUGUUUAGAUUAAGCAGAGAGAUUUAUUACCAUAAGGAAUAAAUAUGUGUGCAUGAUUUUCUUUGGAAAUCAUAAUAUGAUCUGCUCUCAUUCUUGGACUGUAAUCGGAGUGAACAAAUAGUUUUCGCUUUUCUUCAGGUGUUCAAUGCUGCAAGUUAAGUAUCUUCUCAAUUAUAUACUAAUCUUCACUUGCACAUUAAUGUUGCAUCUUCCAUAUGCUGUCAAGUAUCAUAUAGUAUUAAAGUCUGAUUCAGAAGAUUCAAACGCAGAUUAUUUUUCUCCAUUCAGCACAUCAUGAGCCUGAAAAUUUUACCCUUUACUAUCCAACAGGAUUGUUUAAUAUAUCAAAUACCUCUUUGUGUUAUUUUAGUUGAUACAUAAAUAAGUUGGUAACUCUUAGAAUAGCUCACUGAAGUAGUAAGACAAUAUUCACUUUCUUGCCGUAAAUUGUAAAUUGCACGCAGCUACGACCACUGCUUUGCUUUACCACUUGUAAUUUAUACAAAUAGAUCAAUGAUGUACUGCAGAGCAGUGUGUAUCCUACUGAAUAUAAUACUGAUUUUUUGGCAUUUUAACUUUGUUUUCCUUGUCUAACAGAUAUAAGGGACAACACUGCUGGAAUGUGUCCAUGGAUUAAUAUAAUGACAGAAAGUUAUGAAGGCAAAGGCAUAGUUCAAAAACCCUCUGUUCCAACACUGGCUACAAUCAAAGUCAGUCUGGCUGCAUGAAUAAUUAUUGCUGUGUGAUCUCCAGCAUAGUCUGAUGUCAAAAAUAAUGUGUGUCUAAAUUUGUGAUGUUUUAUGAUAAUUGCCUAAGAAAAUCUUCCAUCACCUUGAGCGUAGAACCCACUGAAAUAUUAUUGGACCACAACAGGCCAUUGCACAACUCUUAGAUCUUAGAAGCUCCUGGGAGAAUCUCUGUUUUACAUCUAAGCAUAAACUCACACGCCUUGCAUGCUCAGACUAUUAAAAUGAAUUGACAUGUUAAUGCUGACAGCGAGUAGUUACUAAAUUACUGCUCAGCCAACCAGAAGGAACUCUUAAGCACUGAACUCCUUCCCCUAUCUCCUCAGCACCACCUGAAGCAAAAUACACAUCUUUAUUCUAGAAUGUACUGAAAGAAACAAACAUUAAAAGGGGCUGAAUGUCCUGUUAGUGAUGUACCUGUCAUAAAUCAGUGGGAUUUUAAUCAUACCUGUCAACCUCCCUUGCUUCCCCCCUUUGAGGGUCUGUUUGCAUUCUGCUCCCUCCUUCACUCACUUCCAAUUAUCUGGAAGCUGUUCCCUUGUUUAUUUAUUUAUCUAAAGUUCACAUACAGUAUGCAUGCUCAAAUUUUCUCCAGAGGGAGAUGAGGCGGAUCCAACAAAGGUCCACUGGAGCGUGUCAGCUAACAGCUGAAUGAAUGUACUGAGCCUUUAAACCUGGUUUGGAAAUAAAUGACAGGAGGGGGGUUGAUUCUAAUUAGUGCUUACAAUGAUGGAUUAUGCCUUAAUAUCUAGCUGUUUCACCUUUUGACUGCUAUUUGACUUUCUGCGUAUUGUAUUAGAGUUCCAGAAGGACGGAAAAACAUCUCUAGUAAAUGGUUUAUUCACCUGAUUAAAAAUUCAACUGAAAUUAUUGUACCAGCUGCUUAACUCUGUAAGCAUGUUGUAAUUCUUAAUUUAAAUCCUUGCAAAUGCUGGGUGGGUGGGGUUGUUGGGGAGAAAGGGUGAAGUGGUUUAAUUUGCAAGAGUAACGAGUGGAAUAUAUGAUAUUGGAGCCGUGAAUAUUGUUGACUCAGACGGAAGCAGCUGAAGCAGUUUAUGGAUGGGGUGACGGGUGUCCCCAGUGAUCUUCCAGGCCCUCUUUACACACCUGCUGCUAUGAAUGUCCUUAAUGGAGGGAAGUUCACAUCUGCAGAUGCUCUGGGCUGUCCGUACCACUCACUGCAGUGCCCAGCAAUUAAGGUUGGUGCAAGGAUGCCUGCAAAAAAUGAAUCUCAGGUGCAGCCUGACCUGCUGAGUUCCUCCAGUGUUUUGUGUGUGUUGCUUUGGAUUUCCAGCCUCUGCAGACUUUCUCGUGUUUAUGGUCCUUAUUGUGCAGUGGCUUGCUGGAGCCUGCUGUGUAUAAAUUGAAUUCUGAGUUUCCUACAUCACAACCAUGCUUAACAUUCAAAGUAAGCUGCAAAUCGAUUGUCAACUAUUUUGAGAGAUCCUAAGCUUUGAAAGGUUCCAAUAGUUUCUUUUGAUACUUUGUGUUACUUUGAGAAAAAAAAACUCCUUCAUUCACAUAGAUGUACUUGAAAUUCCUUUCAUUGCAGAAAAGAUUUUCAUACAUUUAAUAAUUGAUGCACUAUAAUUCUGAUGGUGGCAUAUUUCAGACAUGGGACGCUUGUGAAAGAGGCUGGUAGAGCUACCUCUGUUGCAAACUUGGUAUAGUUUGUACAUUCCUGGUCUCCAACCUUUAUUAUACCAGCAAAAUUAAGCAAGGGGUCUGUGGAUCCCAGAAUGAUAUACUAGACUUUAUUAUAUCAUUAGAUAUCAAAUAAGUCUUCUAGUGAAGUUUAGAAAAACAAAA
Hypanus sabinus (Atlantic stingray) is the source of this 2800-nucleotide long non-coding RNA. RefSeq lists it as uncharacterized. The record is from RefSeq and is a predicted model, not a curated record. Lineage: Eukaryota; Metazoa; Chordata; Chondrichthyes; Myliobatiformes; Dasyatidae. The transcript has 3 exons.